AAUCCACUGGGAGGGUGCUGCUGCAGUCUGUGGACCACCCUCUAAAAGAAGCACUGGGGUCUUUAUUAGCUGUUGCUCGUGUUGUGGAUUAUGACUCCUACAGGGACAGCAUGCUGUUGUUUGAGAGAUUUUUUAAGCUGUGCAUGAGAUAUCGGUCCCGUACCCCCGGCCUCCUGCAUCUGCCUUCACUGUCCCAUCCUUCAGCCCCAGAGAUGAACAUCUUGAGCUGCAUAUGCAGAGCACUGUAGCUUUCUCAGUCUCAGCCCUGAGUCUAGACUAGAAACUCUACAGCUGCCUGAUAUCUGAGAGGAGUCAGGACGGCCUGAGGCUGCAGGGCCUACGGCUACAGGUGAACAGCGAUUAGUGCUUGACUAAUGCUCACAUCCUCUUCUUUUAAAAAAUGGUCUUUUUCCGAUUUUGCUCUGCUGUUGAUUCUGCAGUCUAGAGCAGUAGGUGACGAGUGUUGAUGGCAUAUUAACAUGUUGCUGGGGUGCUUACUGCUGCUCACAGUCAGACCACCUCACACACUGCAGACUCCGUCAGCCUGAUAAGUGCUGCGUCUUAUUGGCUCAGAGGUGAGUGACCAAGUGCAA
This 593-nucleotide long non-coding RNA is filed under the name Astyanax mexicanus (Mexican tetra). RNAcentral's name for it is "lncRNA (ENSAMXG00005012503.1)". The record is from RNAcentral. Lineage: Eukaryota; Metazoa; Chordata; Actinopteri; Characiformes; Acestrorhamphidae.